RNAcentral lists this ribosomal RNA (687 nucleotides) under Triticum aestivum (bread wheat). RNAcentral describes it as "partial small subunit ribosomal RNA". Lineage: Eukaryota; Viridiplantae; Streptophyta; Magnoliopsida; Poales; Poaceae. The record is from RNAcentral.
AUGGUUAAGAAGAUAUUCAAUGUCCCAUCUGGUAGCAAAUCGAUAGAGUUCGGGAAGAGGGGCAAAGCUGAUUUCCGUGAAGUUUAUCUGCGCGGCGGGGAUAGGGCUCCGAUACCCAACGCAGUUUCUGUCUUAUCAAAAGCAGAUGAUGAUGACACCAUCGAGAGGUCAUGGGUAUUACUGUGCCUGGCUUUGGUCCUAGCUCCUGGGACAGGAAACAUGAUCCCCCUAGAUUAUCUUUACACCCUACGAGAUAUGAGCAUGGUCCAUGAGUUUGAGUGGGAUGAGCAUAUCCUGUGUGAUGUGAUGAGAGAAGUUAAAAAAUACCAGGAUAGGAGGAAUGAGGGUAGAGGGAAAUUUCUCAUCGGUGGAUGUCUAUCAAUGCUUCCGAUAAUUUAUAUGGACCAUCUUGAUGUGCCAAGAGGAUGCAUAGUUGAUCACACCAUCAACUACUCGCUUCCUAGAGCUUGUUUCGUUCAUGAAAUGGACUUUUAUGCUGUUGUUGCAGUGGACACCCUAGAUGAUGGGUUUGGGAAGCGUCCUUUCAGGACCAGUACACCGUACGCAGUAGUUGAGUUCAUGUCAUAUGUAGAUCAACAUCACCAAGGAGCUACUAGUGAACAUGUCACAGAGGAAUUGCCGGAAAUCAGCGACCAAGUUGCCCCCACAGACGCAAGUCAUAUUUAA